RNAcentral lists this ribosomal RNA (398 nucleotides) under uncultured bacterium. Its description in RNAcentral is "bacterial SSU rRNA". It matches the Rfam family "Bacterial small subunit ribosomal RNA", at positions 358 to 773 of the family's 1533-position model. The record is from RNAcentral.
GGAAUCUUGCACAAUGGGGGCAACCCUGAUGCAGCGACGCCGCGUGGGUGAAGAAGGGUUUCGGCUCGUAAAGCCCUUUUCUGCGUGACGAGAAUGACGGUAGCGCAGGAAGAAGUCUCGGCUAACUACGUGCCAGCAGCCGCGGUAAAACGUAGGAGGCGAGCGUUAUCCGGAGUUCCUGGGCUUAAAGCGCGUGUAGGCGGUUGGGCAAGCUGGGUGUGAAAGCGCCAGGCUCAACCUGGCGAGGCCAUCCAGGACUGCUCGGCUGGAGGCCGGUAGAGGAGUGCGGAAUUCCGGGUGUAGCGGUGAAAUGUGUAGAGAUCCGGAGGAACACCAGUGGUGCAGACGGCGCUCUGGGCCGGACCUGACGCUGAGACGCGAAAGCGUGGGGAGCGAAC